CAGCCGCCGCGGGAAUACAGAGGGUGCAAGCGUUAAUCGGAAUUACUGGGCGUAAAGCGCGCGUAGGUGGUUUGUUAAGUUGGAUGUGAAAUCACCGGGCUCAACCUGGGAACUGCAUCCAAAACUGGCAAGCUAGAGUAUGGUAGAGGGUGGUGGAAUUUCCUGUGUAGCGGUGAAAUGCGUAGAUAUAGGAAGGAACACCAGUGGCGAAGGCGACCACCUGGACUGAUACUGACACUGAGGUGCGAAAGCGUGGGGAGCAAACAGGAUUAGAGACCCCCGUAGUCCCUGUCUCUUAUAC
This 301-nucleotide ribosomal RNA is filed under the name uncultured bacterium. Its description in RNAcentral is "partial 16S ribosomal RNA". It matches the Rfam family "Bacterial small subunit ribosomal RNA", at positions 509 to 807 of the family's 1533-position model. The record is from RNAcentral.